AUUGAACGCUGGCGGCAGGCCUAACACAUGCAAGUCGAGCGGAUGAAGGGAGCUUGCUCCUGGAUUCAGGGGCGGACGGGUGAGUAAUGCCUAGGAAUCUGCCUGGUAGUGGGGGAUAACGUCCGGAAACGGGCGCUAAUACCGCAUACGUCCUGAGGGAGAAAGUGGGGGAUCUUCGGACCUCACGCUAUCAGAUGAGCCUAGGUCGGAUUAGCUAGUUGGUGGGGUAAAGGCCUACCAAGGCGACGAUCCGUAACUGGUCUGAGAGGAUGAUCAGCCACACUGGAACUGAGACACGGUCCAGACUCCUACGGGAGGCAGCAGUGGGGAAUAUUGGACAAUGGGCGAAAGCCUGAUCCAGCCAUGCCGCGUGUGUGAAGAAGGUCUUCGGAUUGUAAAGCACUUUAAGUUGGGAGGAAGGGCAGUAAGUUAAUACCUUGCUGUUUUGACGUUACCAACAGAAUAAGCACCGGCUAACUUCGUG
Molecule: ribosomal RNA, 484 nt
Filed under: uncultured bacterium
Lineage: Bacteria
Description: partial 16S ribosomal RNA
Rfam family: Bacterial small subunit ribosomal RNA
Source: RNAcentral